Molecule: ribosomal RNA, 500 nt
Filed under: uncultured bacterium
Lineage: Bacteria
Description: partial 16S ribosomal RNA
Rfam family: Bacterial small subunit ribosomal RNA
Source: RNAcentral
AUUGAACGCUGGCGGCAUGCCUUACACAUGCAAGUCGAACGGCAGCACGGGAGCAAUCCUGGUGGCGAGUGGCGAACGGGUGAGUAAAGUAUCGGAACGUGCCCAGUCGUGGGGGAUAACGUAGCGAAAGUUACGCUAAUACCGCAUACGAUCUAUGGAUGAAAGCGGGGGAUCGCAAGACGUCGAGCGAUUGGAGCGGCGGAUAUCAGAUUAGGUAGUUGGUGGGGUAAAGGCUCACCAAGCCGACGAUCUGUAGCUGGUCUGAGAGGACGACCAGCCACACUGGGACUGAGACACGGCCCAGACUCCUACGGGAGGCAGCAGUGGGGAAUUUUGGACAAUGGGCGAAAGCCUGAUCCAGCCAUGCCGCGUGCAGGAUGAAGGCCUUCGGGUUGUAAACUGCUUUUGUACGGAACGAAAAGGUUUGGCCUAAUAAGCUGAGCUCAUGACGGUACCGUAAGAAUAAGCACCAGCUAACUACGUGCCAGCCGCCGCCGUAA